RNAcentral lists this ribosomal RNA (2294 nucleotides) under Escherichia coli. RNAcentral describes it as "partial 23S ribosomal RNA". It matches the Rfam family "Bacterial large subunit ribosomal RNA", at positions 612 to 2886 of the family's 2925-position model. Lineage: Bacteria; Pseudomonadati; Pseudomonadota; Gammaproteobacteria; Enterobacterales; Enterobacteriaceae. The record is from RNAcentral.
AUAAUGGGUCAGCGACUUAUAUUCUGUAGCAAGGUUAACCGAAUAGGGGAGCCGAAGGGAAACCGAGUCUUAACUGGGCGUUAAGUUGCAGGGUAUAGACCCGAAACCCGGUGAUCUAGCCAUGGGCAGGUUGAAGGUUGGGUAACACUAACUGGAGGACCGAACCGACUAAUGUUGAAAAAUUAGCGGAUGACUUGUGGCUGGGGGUGAAAGGCCAAUCAAACCGGGAGAUAGCUGGUUCUCCCCGAAAGCUAUUUAGGUAGCGCCUCGUGAAUUCAUCUCCGGGGGUAGAGCACUGUUUCGGCAAGGGGGUCAUCCCGACUUACCAACCCGAUGCAAACUGCGAAUACCGGAGAAUGUUAUCACGGGAGACACACGGCGGGUGCUAACGUCCGUCGUGAAGAGGGAAACAACCCAGACCGCCAGCUAAGGUCCCAAAGUCAUGGUUAAGUGGGAAACGAUGUGGGAAGGCCCAGACAGCCAGGAUGUUGGCUUAGAAGCAGCCAUCAUUUAAAGAAAGCGUAAUAGCUCACUGGUCGAGUCGGCCUGCGCGGAAGAUGUAACGGGGCUAAACCAUGCACCGAAGCUGCGGCAGCGACGCUGAUGCGUUGUUGGGUAGGGGAGCGUUCUGUAAGCCUGCGAAGGUGUGCUGUGAGGCAUGCUGGAGGUAUCAGAAGUGCGAAUGCUGACAUAAGUAACGAUAAAGCGGGUGAAAAGCCCGCUCGCCGGAAGACCAAGGGUUCCUGUCCAACGUUAAUCGGGGCAGGGUGAGUCGACCCCUAAGGCGAGGCCGAAAGGCGUAGUCGAUGGGAAACAGGUUAAUAUUCCUGUACUUGGUGUUACUGCGAAGGGGGGACGGAGAAGGCUAUGUUGGCCGGGCGACGGUUGUCCCGGUUUAAGCGUGUAGGCUGGUUUUCCAGGCAAAUCCGGAAAAUCAAGGCUGAGGCGUGAUGACGAGGCACUGCGGUGCUGAAGCAACAAAUGCCCUGCUUCCAGGAAAAGCCUCUAAGCAUCAGGUAACAUCAAAUCGUACCCCAAACCGACACAGGUGGUCAGGUAGAGAAUACCAAGGCGCUUGAGAGAACUCGGGUGAAGGAACUAGGCAAAAUGGUGCCGUAACUUCGGGAGAAGGCACGCUGAUAUGUAGGUGAAGUCCCUCGCGGAUGGAGCUGAAAUCAGUCGAAGAUACCAGCUGGCUGCAACUGUUUAUUAAAAACACAGCACUGUGCAAACACGAAAGUGGACGUAUACGGUGUGACGCCUGCCCGGUGCCGGAAGGUUAAUUGAUGGGGUUAGCGCAAGCGAAGCUCUUGAUCGAAGCCCCGGUAAACGGCGGCCGUAACUAUAACGGUCCUAAGGUAGCGAAAUUCCUUGUCGGGUAAGUUCCGACCUGCACGAAUGGCGUAAUGAUGGCCAGGCUGUCUCCACCCGAGACUCAGUGAAAUUGAACUCGCUGUGAAGAUGCAGUGUACCCGCGGCAAGACGGAAAGACCCCGUGAACCUUUACUAUAGCUUGACACUGAACAUUGAGCCUUGAUGUGUAGGAUAGGUGGGAGGCUUUGAAGUGUGGACGCCAGUCUGCAUGGAGCCGACCUUGAAAUACCACCCUUUAAUGUUUGAUGUUCUAACGUUGACCCGUAAUCCGGGUUGCGGACAGUGUCUGGUGGGUAGUUUGACUGGGGCGGUCUCCUCCUAAAGAGUAACGGAGGAGCACGAAGGUUGGCUAAUCCUGGUCGGACAUCAGGAGGUUAGUGCAAUGGCAUAAGCCAGCUUGACUGCGAGCGUGACGGCGCGAGCAGGUGCGAAAGCAGGUCAUAGUGAUCCGGUGGUUCUGAAUGGAAGGGCCAUCGCUCAACGGAUAAAAGGUACUCCGGGGAUAACAGGCUGAUACCGCCCAAGAGUUCAUAUCGACGGCGGUGUUUGGCACCUCGAUGUCGGCUCAUCACAUCCUGGGGCUGAAGUAGGUCCCAAGGGUAUGGCUGUUCGCCAUUUAAAGUGGUACGCGAGCUGGGUUUAGAACGUCGUGAGACAGUUCGGUCCCUAUCUGCCGUGGGCGCUGGAGAACUGAGGGGGGCUGCUCCUAGUACGAGAGGACCGGAGUGGACGCAUCACUGGUGUUCGGGUUGUCAUGCCAAUGGCACUGCCCGGUAGCUAAAUGCGGAAGAGAUAAGUGCUGAAAGCAUCUAAGCACGAAACUUGCCCCGAGAUGAGUUCUCCCUGACUCCUUGAGAGUCCUGAAGGAACGUUGAAGACGACGACGUUGAUAGGCCGGGUGUGUAAGCGCAGCGAUGCGU